UACCAUGCAGUCGAACGGUAAGGCCCCUUCGGGGGUACACGAGUGGCGAACGGGUGAGUAACACGUGGGUAAUCUGCCCUGCACUUCGGGAUAAGCCCGGGAAACUGGGUCUAAUACCGGAUAUGAGCUCUCACCGCAUGGUGGGGGUUGGAAAGUUUUUCGGUGCAGGAUGAGCCCGCGGCCUAUCAGCUUGUUGGUGGGGUAAUGGCCUACCAAGGCGACGACGGGUAGCCGGCCUGAGAGGGUGAUCGGCCACACUGGGACUGAGACACGGCCCAGACUCCUACGGGAGGCAGCAGUGGGGAAUAUUGCACAAUGGGCGCAAGCCUGAUGCAGCGACGCCGCGUGGGGGAUGACGGUCUUCGGAUUGUAAACCCCUUUCAGUAGGGACGAAGCGCAAGUGACGGUACCUGCAGAAGAAGCACCGGCCAACUACGUGCCAGCAGCCGCGGUAAUACGUAGGGUGCGAGCGUUGUCCGGAAUUACUGGGCGUAAAGAGCUCGUAGGCGGUUUGUCGCGUCGUCUGUGAAAUCCUCCAGCUUAACUGGGGGCGUGCAGGCGAUACGGGCAGACUUGAGUACUACAGGGGAGACUGGAAUUCCUGGUGUAGCGGUGAAAUGCGCAGAUAUCAGGAGGAACACCGGUGGCGAAGGCGGGUCUCUGGGUAGUAACUGACGCUGAGGA
This 684-nucleotide ribosomal RNA is filed under the name Dietzia aerolata. RNAcentral's name for it is "bacterial SSU rRNA". It matches the Rfam family "Bacterial small subunit ribosomal RNA", at positions 52 to 752 of the family's 1533-position model. Lineage: Bacteria; Bacillati; Actinomycetota; Actinomycetes; Mycobacteriales; Dietziaceae. The record is from RNAcentral.